AGAAACUUAGGAUAGUCCCAAACCAAAGGCCUUCAAAGCCUUAAACAAGAGUUAAAACCUCUUAGUUUCUG
Molecule: transfer RNA, 71 nt
Filed under: Geococcyx californianus (greater roadrunner)
Lineage: Eukaryota; Metazoa; Chordata; Aves; Cuculiformes; Neomorphidae
Description: tRNA-Trp
Rfam family: tRNA
About the family: Transfer RNA (tRNA) molecules are approximately 80 nucleotides in length. Their secondary structure includes four short double-helical elements and three loops (D, anti-codon, and T loops).
Source: RNAcentral